This 61-nucleotide transfer RNA is filed under the name Ommatolampis quadrimaculata. RNAcentral describes it as "tRNA-Pro". Lineage: Eukaryota; Metazoa; Arthropoda; Insecta; Orthoptera; Acrididae. The record is from RNAcentral.
CAGAGAUUAGUUUAUAAAAAUAUUGGUUUUGGAGACUAAAGAUAGAAUUUUCUAUCUCUGA